CGCAGCGGGGGGCGGGAGGCGGUCGCAAGGGUGGGGCUGUGCGCCCAUUAAAGCGGCACGCGAGCKGGGUUCAGAACGUCGUGAGACAGUUCGGUCCCUAUCCGUCGCGGGCGUAGGAAAUUUGAGAGGAUCUGCUCCUAGUACGAGAGGACCAGAGUGGACUUACCGCUGGUGUACCAGUUGUCUUGCCAAAGGCAUCGCUGGGUAGCUAUGUAGGGAAGGGAUAAGCGCUGAAAGCAUCUAAGUGCGAAGCCCACCUCAAGAUGAGAUUUCCCAUGAUUUUAUAUCAGUAAGAGCCCUGAGAGAUGAUCAGGUAGAUAGGUUAGGAGUGUAAUUGUGGUGACACAUUUAGCGGACUAAUACUAAUAGCUCGAGGACUUAUCCAAAA
RNAcentral lists this ribosomal RNA (388 nucleotides) under Streptococcus agalactiae. RNAcentral describes it as "partial 23S ribosomal RNA". It matches the Rfam family "Bacterial large subunit ribosomal RNA", at positions 2541 to 2925 of the family's 2925-position model. The record is from RNAcentral. Lineage: Bacteria; Bacillati; Bacillota; Bacilli; Lactobacillales; Streptococcaceae.